ACCGGUGCCAAAAACAUAAAGGCCAUCGGUUUGAACCGGUGCCCUUGUGAACCGGCCUUAUAUUUACUAAAAAAAACGCGGCUCUCCUCAUUCCCCUAACCCUAAUUCUUCAUUCCCCUCUUUCUCUCUCCUCUCCUCCUCUUUCUCUCGCCGUUUCUCUCUCCUCUCCUCCUCCUUCUUUCUCCUGCUCCCCUAACUCCUCCUUCUCUAUCUUUCUCUUUCUCGAUCUCCUUCUCCCUCACCUCCUUCUCCACCACGAAGCUAAGAACAUCACUUUCACCACCACGAUGUCCUCCUUCUUUCUUUGAUUCGAAGACCAAAACUUUCACCACCACAAAGUUCAUUUUAAUCGAAGACCACCACAUGCAACACCAUUUUAAUCGAAGACCGCCACCAAUUCGAGGUAUAUUGAUGCAAGAAUCAAGAUGCAAGUUUUAUUGUGAUGUUGUAAUUUUUUUUUUGAUUUAUGCUGUAAUUUUUUUUUUGAUUUAUACUGUAAUUUUUUUUUUGGAUUUAUACUGUAAUUUUUUUUUUAAAUUUAUAUGUUGUAAUUUAUCUAUAUUGAUUGAUAUUCGAUUUACAUUUUGUAA
Molecule: long non-coding RNA, 590 nt
Organism: Chenopodium quinoa (quinoa)
Lineage: Eukaryota; Viridiplantae; Streptophyta; Magnoliopsida; Caryophyllales; Amaranthaceae
Exons: 2
Source: RefSeq, a predicted model, not a curated record